UGCCUGCCUGGCUGCACCAUGGACUCCAGGCUCCUCCACUGCAUGAUGCUUUGUCUCCUGGGAGCAGGCCCUGUGGAGGCAGGAGUCACUCAAACUCCAAGACACCUGAUCAAAACAAAAGGACAGAAAGUGACACUGAGAUGUUCCCCUAUUUCUGGGCAUGAGAGUGUGUCUUGGUACCAACAGAUCCUGGGCCAGGGCCCCCAGUUCCUCUUUGAAUAUUACAGAGAAGAAGAGAGAGCAAAGGGAAACUUCCCCAGUCGGUUCUCAGCUCACCAGUUCCGUAACUACAGCUCUGAGAUGAAUGUGAGCUCCUUGGCGCUGGAGGACUCAGCCCUGUAUCUCUGUGCUAGCAGCUUGGCACAGCCCUGCAGAGUCACUGACGUUCUGUGCGCAAACCUCUGUGCCCCAGCAAGGAAACACCUCAGACCUGACAUGCUGGGAGAACUUGGGGGCUGCAGGAGCACUUGA
Molecule: non-coding RNA, 471 nt
Organism: Tupaia belangeri chinensis (Chinese tree shrew)
Lineage: Eukaryota; Metazoa; Chordata; Mammalia; Scandentia; Tupaiidae
Source: the annotation of a RefSeq genome assembly